Bombyx mori (domestic silkworm) is the source of this 1118-nucleotide long non-coding RNA. RefSeq lists it as uncharacterized. Lineage: Eukaryota; Metazoa; Arthropoda; Insecta; Lepidoptera; Bombycidae. The record is from RefSeq and is a predicted model, not a curated record. The transcript is spliced from 2 exons.
GAGACGUGUAUACUCAAAAAAAAUAUUUAGCGCGUUAGUUUCUUCGAACUAUACAAGUGCCUUCGCAGCUGCAAUGAAAGUUGAUAUAAAAUUCCUUCUCAAAAAUUAUUUAGGACAUGCAUAACCAUAAAAGAAACCUGAUACCUGAACGUGCACCAAAGUUAUAAUCGUACUUACUGAUCGUACAGUGAUCAUGAGUCGUCAACAAAAAACCAUUAUGUGAACAAUAGUAUAUUAUUACGUAGACCAUCCCUCGUCUGUCAUACAAUAAAUACUUAAACGCUUAAAACGCAAUCCGCUCAAUAAAAGUACAACCUUUAUGCGUGAUAUGUAUUUGUAUAUUAUGAUAAGUACAUAUUAUGCAAACACUGUUUACAAGGAUACUAUGAUGACAACAGAAGAUUGAAUAAACCUUCAUGUAUACAUAAUAAGAUUUUCGAUUUACAUAAAUUCAAGGAAUGCGUUUCAAGACUUAAAAUAUUCUGACGUGUUGAAGAAAUUUAAAUACGAUUUCAUUUACGUGCGACAGCAUACUUUGAAAGAAUCAAAAGUGCGCUAAAAAAAUUAAUGGCAUAAAAUCAUGUUCUUCACGUAAUCUCCGAUUUUUUUAAUUCUUUAUUUUCGUGGCUUUAUAUAAACAAAAAAAAAAGAAAUACAGUGCGAAUUGCUUAAUAUGAUGCACUUACGACAUCACCCGAUUGCGAUAUUAUUUUUCGAAUUUAAUAGGCGCUCGCCACAAGUCGUCCUACGCUUAGACAAUAAUAAUAAAAUUAAAGUAAAACAUAGCACCAAUAAAUGAAAAAGAAAGGCGACACAAAUUAAAACAGAUUUGCAAAUGAAAAAUUUAGCAGGAAACAUACAUAUCUGAAGUAUACAGGACGUUAUGUAACUGAUAAAACAAGCAUUAUCUAAGUUAUCAACGAAAUGUGAAAUAAGGGAGCAUAACAGCAUGCGUGCAAAUCAUAAUAGCUCAAACAUGAAGUUCGCUUUGCAAAAAUAUACAGCGCUGCAGCACAAAGCAUAAUAUGAUAAAAACCCAAAUGAAAUCCAAUCCUGGACCUCUUAUUAGCAUAGAUGGGCAUUCACGGCCCACCACAUUAACAUUGAAGAUGAUUCAA